AGUGGGGAAUCAUAUGUGCUGGAAACGUCCUUGCUCCACCAGCCGGAGGCCAGGAAGCGAGCGCCAAAUGCUGUUUACAGGACAGCUCUUAUUUCAGGAAUGAAGACUAAGGCUCAGCAGGUAGGAGGCCUUGAGAACAAGCACCGAAUUUCCAAGAAGCCCACGCUGCGACGGAGCUGCAGAGUGCUUGGCUCAGGGAACUCAUUGGAUAAUGAGACAGGAGACGCUUGCGAUGUUGUAAUAAACCCAUGCAAACUCAUCUACAUUAACAGGGGCACCAGCUUACUAUGCUGGGGAAGAUUUGAAGAUCAAGAGUUAGGCAAAACCGAGUUGAAAUCUCAGAUAAAUGACUUCGGUGGUCAUGGGAUGCUACAACUGGAUCAAUUUGCUGAUAAAGGUGCUCAUUCGAGCUGAAGGAUUUAAUAGAGAAAAAGCAGACUAAGAAAUAGAAUAUUUAAACACUUCAAGUCAUUUCCUUGGAAAGGCUUUCUGCAUCUUGUUGGAGGAGCGAGUCAUCUUCCUGUGUGAAAUGUUCAAAGCUCAUUUCCGGUGAGUAAUGAGAGGGGCAUUCAGGUCUGGAUGCAGCCACUGUGCACGUGGUGAAGUCCACGGUACUACAGCUUCCUCUUCAGAAAACAGAGGUGCUGCCUCUUGGGCCCCAUUAUUCUGGGCUCUUC
RNAcentral lists this long non-coding RNA (677 nucleotides) under Callithrix jacchus (white-tufted-ear marmoset). RNAcentral describes it as "lncRNA (ENSCJAG00000059390.2)". The record is from RNAcentral. Lineage: Eukaryota; Metazoa; Chordata; Mammalia; Primates; Cebidae.